UAUGGCAUGGGUGUGGCUCUAAAAAGCUAAAAGGAAAAAAAAAAAAGAAAAAAAAAUGCAAUUCAAUUCUACCAUCUUUUUAUUCUGACCACAGGCUAAUUCAGUGGUUUAACUAAUGGCAAAUAUCUGAAGGGAAGAAGACCUGGCCUUUGAAAGGCGAUUAGCAUUAAAGGUAUAGGAUAAGAAGUAGCAGUAUAUCCUUCAGUGGUUUGAUGCAUCAUUGUUUUUUCCUAAAACAGAAUUGUGCACCGUACAUAUAUUUAAAACACUAUUCUAAUACUGGUUUCAUGAUACUGAAGUUGACAACGGCACAUGACAUUUUCCCGAUAUUCCCUCACAAUGGAGGUCAUCCUACACAGGGUUAACUUAAUGAGGACGGAUGCAGAUAAGAAAGUUCUGAAAUUAAAGAUCACAGAAUCAUUACAUUUUAUUUGAUUUUUAUAAAGUAUUAAACUAGAAAAUCAAAUAUUUUUCAACUCAAAUAAAAAUGUUUUUUUAAAGGGGUCAUUAUUCAACUAAAGCAAACCAAAAAUUAUUCUAGGUUACAUCUUAUCUGUUUCGUAGUGUCUCUGAGGUCUUAUAACAAUUAAUUCAGUGUAGCUUUUUAAUUUGUUUAAUUAUCAUUCUUAUUAAAAGACACUAUCCCCACCCCAAAGACUAGUCAAAUUUGAGUAACUCUUAAGAUAUAGGGAAAUUAAUUCCAGUAUGUAAAAUGAUAUGGGGACAAAAUGUCCAGGUGAAAUGCAAAGCUGUAAAUGAAAGUUAUAUAUGUGAGACUUGUUUCUUUGUUGUUCAUUUUGAGAUGCCUAAGAAAUAUAAAGUUUAGAAACAUUCAGUCAGAACAUUUUCUGAGUGCCGUUUGGGACUAGAGUACUAUAUUGAUGGAUGUACUAUACAUCUAAUUCCAAAUUAGCUCUUACCUCACUAGAGUCCCUUCUCCAAAGCCUGAAAAAAUAUCUUUGAAGCUGAUUUCUCUACUUCUUUUCAUCACAGCUGUGAAGGCAUUCUGAACUAGGUGAAACUCUGGUGCUUCUGCCAUAAUCACUCCUAAUAAUUCUGGAAUCGUUAUAGACUUCAAGUCCCUUUCAAGAAGAUUAAACCCCAAAUCCUCUGUCUGUGUCUCGUUGUAAUGCUCCUUCCCCACCUUGAGCAACCUGGGCUGCUCACUCCCUACUAGGGAAGGAUUGUCACCCAUUGCUCACCCCUCCUCUGUGUAACAUGUUCCUGCAGGAAACCAAUCAGAAGAUCAAAUAUGCCCCAUGCAGAGUUCAAACAACACUCAGCCCUUAUGCACAGCAUAGGGAGCUGGGGCAGAAGAAAUUGGGUCUCCACUCAGGUCCAAUGCAUGGGGAUAUAAAAACAAUUGUAAAACUGAGGCGGGGCCUCUAUUUACCCCUCUGUCUGUGGGUGUGGGUGCGGUGUGUACACUCUCUCCUUCUCUGAAAAUGUACUUUUGCUUUAAUAAAUUUGUAAAAUGCCCACCAUUUCAAUGUUUUGUUAUGGCAGGGUGGGAACUGAGGAAACUGCCAUUUUAUCACUCAGGAACAAACUCUAUCCGGUUGUCUUACUAUACCUGAUGCAAAAUUUAAUAUGAAUGUCACAGACUCUCAACACGCCAUUCCUUUAUUUGUUCAACCAAUAAGGAGUAACUGCGUAGAAAUUAUGUGCCAGGUAGUUAAGGUAUAGUGACUGGGGGUAGAAUGUCCUUACAGGACUCAAAAACUCUAAAUUUCAUCCUUGAAUCAUUAUAAGGGAAAUCUUGGCAGUUAUAAUUAAUUUUUGCCUUACCAAAAGCGGUCUAAAAAGAAAGAUUAAAAGAUAAGAUUUACAGUCCAAUGAAGUUGAAACAUCUCAGAAUUUUCCAAUGAAUCAUGAUUUGAAAAAACAUAACUAAAUACUUGUACAAUGUAAGUGAACUAGUUACAAGAGUGAAGAUUUUUUUUAAACGAGAACGAUGAAAGAGAUUUUGAGAUAACAAAUGGAACUAUGCACCCCUUGCCCCCGAGAAAAGGCAAUCACUUGAUUUUCAAAGCACUCAUUAGAAACUAAAGAAAAAAUUCAAAUGUUAUUAUGCUAAUUUACGAAUAAGGAAAUCAUUCUUACAAAUUAAAUAAAUAACCCAAAAGCACAGAGGUAGCACCUAGCAAGAACAGCUUGGGAUGCAGCAAAUUGGUGUCACCUAGGGUCAGCUGAACCCCUCCCCGCAAGACUUCCCCUAAGCCUGAGAUUCCUUUUUACCACUGGGAGUGAAUAACAAAGGCUUCAUUUCCCCAGCCAAUAGAACACAGAUUUGUUAACUACAUUUCUCAUUUCCAUUCUCACAAAGCACCCAAGGUACCUUUAUUUGGGGUCAGGAAUACUGAAUUUCACUAUGAAACCCUGAGUUCUAAAACACAUGAUUAAAAAAAAAAAUCUGUGAUUAAAAAAACAAAUAAUGGCCAGAGGAGAAACAAUGUUUGCAAAUUCAUUAAUUAGGGCAUUAGUUAAUCCCGCCUUGGAAAAUUUAUUUUAGAUCAACUGUUCAGCCUUCAUUAAAGCCAUUAAAUUCUAUAGAAUAGAAAAUAUGUUUGAGCUUCCCACUGCUGAGUUUUCAGUUGGAUUGUCUCCCAAUUCACAUUUUUAUCAAACUAUAGUAUAAUCAAGGUGCAGGUUAAGGUAACACAUUAUUAGGCUUUCCAAGAGAAGUGUAAAUAAACCCUGACUUGCAAAUUGGAUAACUUAUUUUUUGUGCUACAUCAUUAGCUAUGAAAAGUAUUUAGACUUAAAUAUAUUUAUUGACAUAAAAAUUCCAGCCUAUCAUUUGUAAAAAGGAACGACAUUAUUCUAGGACAUUAUAGCUGAUGCAGGAAAGAAAAAAAUAUUUAAUUCUUCUCAUUUUAUAAUUAUUUUCUCACUCUAAAAGUAAUAAAUGUCCAUUGUAGAAAAUGUAGGAGGAUAUGGAAAACCACAAGGAAAAAAAUAAAUCUUUCUUGAACCCCACAACUCAAAGAUAAUGACUGUUAAUAUAACCAGUCUUCACCAAUUCAGUAUCUAUUGGCAGGGAGAUGAGAUUGUUUAUGUCUCUGUAAUUGCCAAAAGGGGCUAUUUUCAAAACUUUUAAGCACUUAGCAAUUAAAGAGUUUUACCUCAUUUUUAUUUAACUGAAUAGUCUUUGACUACUAAGUGGAAAAAUUUUCAAUGUCAUCAGUUAUUUGUAAUGAAUUAUAUUUUACUUGUUUAUUGUCAUCUCAUUGUUCACUUUUUUAUCCACUGAUUCAUUUAGUUAAGUACCUACUGCAGUCAGCAUCAUUUCAGUUACUAGUGAAGAAGAAAAACUUCUGUUCUCAUGUUGUGCACCUGCUCCUGAAAGGAGACAAAUUAUAAGCAAAGUAUCAAAAGUAAACAAGUUAAUUUUGCACUAUUAUCAUAGUCCAAAUAUGUUUUGUAUUACUCUCUUAGGGCUAUUGUAACAAGUUACCACAAACUGGGUGGCUCCAACAACAGAAAUGUAUUCCAUCACAGUUCAGAAGUCUAGACAUUUGAAAUCAAGGUGUCAGCAGGACCAUAUUCUCUCUGUCUCUAGGGCAGAAAACUUCCUUGCCUCUUCCAACUUCUCAUGGCCCCCAGUUAUUUCCUGGACUUGUGGCCUCAUCACACCAAUUUUUGCCUCCGUUUUCUUCUCUCUGUGUUUAUCCUCUAUGUCUCUGUGUUCCGAUAUAUCACUCUUUUCUCUUAAAAGACAUCAAUUGUUGGAUUUAUGGACCACCCUUAUCCAGUAUGAUCUCAUUUUUAACUUGAUUACAUCUACAAAGAUUAUUUCCAAAUAAGGUUACAAUUACUGGUAUUGGGACUUAGGACUUGAACAUUUCUUUGGGAGGAGUUGCAAAAUACAACCCAUCACACUGUGACAAACACUAGGAAAAAAACAAAAGUUUGAAUUAAACUUCUAUGAGAGAUUGUGAUCAGGGAUGGGUUGGGAGACCUAUUUUGAUAGAGUGUUCAGGGGAGACCUCUCUGGGAAGGUUACUACCAAGCUAAGACCAGAAUGAUGAGCUGGAGCUAGUCACACAGAGAUCUCCAAGCAGUGAAAAACAGCUCGUGCAGGGUCCCCAAGGGGUGGAGUGUUAUGAGAUAAUGAUUAGCUGGUGAUAUUUACCUUUAUAAACCAUGGUAGAGAGAUUUUAAUCAAUCAGUGUGUAAAAUAAUCUUUUAAAACAAGGUUGAAAUGUUUGAAAUAAGUUUGAUGCACCUUAUCCCAUACAUACGGAGAAAAUAGUUUUAUUAACCUCUUCUAGAAAGAAUAAAGGCACAGAAAUUCUAAACACCUUUUUUUAACGUUGAAAGAUAAUUAGGAACAUUUCUAAUUAUGUUGUAAGUGUGUUUUCUAUUUUAAGUGUGUUUAUAUUUAUUUCAAUGUGUAAUUUUCUUUUAAAUUAGUCUUUGGGCUUUUUAUCCAGUAAGUAUUAAUAACAAUUCUACCUAUCAAAGUACUUAGUUAUCUAUUAAUCUAGAUACUUAUUUAUUGUUUUAUCAUAUGAACUCUAUCUUGCCUUAUAUGAUUAGGGGAAAAAAAAACUCUGCGCCAUCAAGGAUUAAAAUAAUUGAUGGUCUACAUUUUAUUCUAUAGUCUGAUGCUUUCUUUUCCUUUCUUUUUUUUUUUUUUAAUCUGCUUUUUGUUUAUAUUUCACUUAUUUUUCACGAAUGCUUUCAUUCAUCUGGAAAAGAUUUUGGAGCAAGAACACAUUUCGAUUCUCCUGACCAUUAUAC
RNAcentral lists this long non-coding RNA (4746 nucleotides) under Sus scrofa (pig). Its description in RNAcentral is "lncRNA (ENSSSCG00000054372.1)". The record is from RNAcentral. Lineage: Eukaryota; Metazoa; Chordata; Mammalia; Artiodactyla; Suidae.